RNAcentral lists this ribosomal RNA (497 nucleotides) under uncultured bacterium. RNAcentral's name for it is "partial 16S ribosomal RNA". It matches the Rfam family "Bacterial small subunit ribosomal RNA", at positions 28 to 507 of the family's 1533-position model. The record is from RNAcentral.
GAUGAACGCUGGCGGCGUGCCUAACACAUGCAAGUCGAGCGAACAGACGAGGAGCUUGUUCCUUUGACGUUAGCGGCGGACGGGUGAGUAACACGUGGAUAACCCACCUAUAUUUCUGGGAUAACUUCGGGAAACCGGAUCUAAUACCGGAUAAUAUAUUGAACCGCAUGGUUCAAUAGUGAAAGACGGUUUUGCUGUCACUUAUAGAUGGAUCCGCGCCGCAUUAGCUAGUUGGUAAGGUAACGGCUUACCAAGGCAACGAUGCGUAGGCGACCUGAGAGGGUGAUCGGCCACACUGGAACUGAGACACGGUCCAGACUCCUACGGGAGGCAGCAGUAGGGAAUCUUCCGCAAUGGGCGAAAGCCUGACGGAGCAACGCCGCGUGAGUGAUGAAGGUCUUCGGAUCGUAAAACUCUGUUAUUAGGGAAGAACAAAUGUGUAAGUAACUAUGCACGUCUUGACGGUACCUAAUCAGAAAGCCACGGCUAACUACGUG